CCUACGGGGGGCAGCAGUGAGGAAUAUUGGUCAAUGGACGAGAGUCUGAACCAGCCAAGUAGCGUGAAGGAUGAAUGCCCAAUGGGUUGUAAACUUCGUUUAUAAAGGAAUAAAACGAGGCACGUGUGCCUUUUUGCAUGUACUUGAUGAAUAAGGAUCGGCUAACUCCGUGCCAGCAGCCGCGGUAAUACGGAGGAUCCGAGCGUUAUCCGGAUUUAUUGGGUUUAAAGGGAGCGUAGAUGGGUUGUUAAGUCAGUUGUGAAAGUUUGCGGCUCAACCGUAAAAUUGCCAUUGAUACUGGCAGUCUUGAGUACAGUUGAGGUAGGCGGAAUUCGUGGUGUAGCG
RNAcentral lists this ribosomal RNA (345 nucleotides) under uncultured bacterium. Its description in RNAcentral is "partial 16S ribosomal RNA". It matches the Rfam family "Bacterial small subunit ribosomal RNA", at positions 338 to 680 of the family's 1533-position model. The record is from RNAcentral.